This 253-nucleotide ribosomal RNA is filed under the name uncultured bacterium. RNAcentral's name for it is "partial 16S ribosomal RNA". It matches the Rfam family "Bacterial small subunit ribosomal RNA", at positions 524 to 776 of the family's 1533-position model. The record is from RNAcentral.
UACAGAGGUCUCAAGCGUUGUUCGGAUUCAUUGGGCGUAAAGGGUGCGUAGGUGGCGCCGUAAGUCAGGUGUGAAAUUUCGGAGCUUAACUCCGAAACUGCAUUUGAUACUGCGGUGCUUGAGGACUGGAGAGGAGACUGGAAUUUACGGUGUAGCAGUGAAAUGCGUAGAGAUCGUAAGGAAGACCAGUGGCGAAGGCGGCCAACUGGACAGAUACUGACGCUGAGACACGAAAGCGUGGGGAGCAAACAGG